UACGUAGGGUGCAAGCGUUAAUCGGAAUUACUGGGCGUAAAGCGUGCGCAGGCGGUUUUGUAAGUCUGAUGUGAAAUCCCCGGGCUCAACCUGGGAAUUGCAUUGGAGACUGCAAGGCUAGAAUCUGGCAGAGGGGGGUAGAAUUCCACGUGUAGCAGUGAAAUGCGUAGAGAUGUGGAGGAACACCGAUGGCGAAGGCAGCCCCCUGGGUCAAGAUUGACGCUCAUGCACGAAAGCGUGGGGAGCGAACAGG
This 253-nucleotide ribosomal RNA is filed under the name uncultured bacterium. RNAcentral's name for it is "partial 16S ribosomal RNA". It matches the Rfam family "Bacterial small subunit ribosomal RNA", at positions 524 to 776 of the family's 1533-position model. The record is from RNAcentral.